CUAAGGAUUUGACUCCUAGGCAUUUCAUUCUAAGACUUAGCAUAAGACCUGUUUGUGUGUGUGUGUGUGUGUUUUCAUAUAAGACACCCAUUCUUGAAUAAGGAUUUAUCACUUUAUUGACCUGGACCAAUACAAACAAGCCAAUUGGCUAGUGGCAAUCAAGUUCACUUAAUGAAGACCAUGUCUAUUUUAGCUGACACCUUGAACCCUGAGUUCAUAAAGAUAAGAAUCAUGGGACCAAAAAAGAAAAAGAAAAAACAAUUAGCAAAAGAAAAACAUUAAAGCACAAAAGCUCUUCAUUGAUGUUGUUAUGCCCAUGGUUACCUAUACUUAGAGAAUUCUCCAACACUGUUACCUAUAACAUUCUGGAGAUAGGAAAGGAACUAGUACUUUUUGGAUGCAGGCAUGUCUUCUUUCAAAGGCUCUGGUAUGGGUAUGGUGGGAGGUACCCAUAACGAACAACAAUAAGAAAACCAUAAACAUUUUAUAUACAUGCGAAAAGGCAAACACAAUGAUAAAAUGUUUAGACUGAAGAAAUCAUGUGAAAUAAAAAGUAAAACUUAUUAGUAAUAUCUGUAAAAAAAUAAUUUUACUUGCCUUGAGCAGAUGCCCUAAUUUUUCUUUCCUUUGUGAGGGCACUAACUAAACUAAAAUGAUAAGAGGUUCACUUCCAGAAUGUAUUAUUCAGGAUAUUAUUUAUAUGUGUGUGUUUCUGUACUUAUAUAGCAUAGAAAGGAUAUAUGUUUAACUGGAGGAAGGAAAAAUCUUGGGAUCCAACCCCA
This is a long non-coding RNA of Myotis davidii, 782 nucleotides long. RefSeq lists it as uncharacterized. The transcript is spliced from 3 exons. The record is from RefSeq and is a predicted model, not a curated record. NCBI's taxonomy places the organism in Eukaryota, Metazoa, Chordata, Mammalia, Chiroptera, Vespertilionidae.